UGCAUCCCUGCAAUAAAUCCAAUUUACAGUAUAUCAUCCCCAUUCUGAUUGGCUUACAGAUAACUGUAGGAAAGAUGAUGUCCCUAUAAAACUAGAACUAGCAGGGCCCUGCCCUAGAAACAAACCUCAAGCAUGGGCCAGAAGUAGCAAUAAAAUAUAUACAAAUACUUACUCAAGGGUGGGGAGAUGUAAGUGUGGUUUACUAUUGAGGCUGUAACUAUCCCCCUUUUACUGAUAUUGCUCAUACACCAGGACCCUGCUGGGCUCUAUAUACUCAUGGGGUCCCCUUGCAGGCUCUGGGUCUGCUGUUGCUAUUGUUAAUUGAUCAAUAUAUCAAGACAGAGAGAUAUAGGUUGGUGUUUACAGUUCAACACCAACUGCAAUUACUAAUGUAAACGCAAAAGUAUCAUCCGUUAUACUGUUACUCAGCAGCCCCGGGGGGUGACUGUUACCUGUAUUUUGCUUGUUCUCUGCAGAUACAGAGCGAGCGUUGGCAUUACUGGAGGAAUAUCGCAGGAAAUUACGAAAACCGCAGGAACGGCAGCUCAGACUGGCCAUUGAGAAGGUGAUCCGUCUCUUUAAGAGUAAUCUGUUCAAAGCCUUGAUAGACAUACAAGAAUGCUAUGAGGUAACACUGCUAAAUGCCCACAAAAACUAUGAAGAAAAAGUAGCUGAACUGAACCAUAUAGCAGAGUUAUGGGAGAAGAAUAACUCAUCAUCUACUGGCCCGGAGAGCUUACAAAGAGCCUCAGAGCUUGAGGCUCUCAAUGGCUCCAAUGGAUAUACAACAAGCGAUGAGCCGAAUACGGACAAUCACUCCUUGGAUACAACUGCUGUUAAC
Xenopus laevis (African clawed frog) is the source of this 841-nucleotide long non-coding RNA. RefSeq lists it as uncharacterized. NCBI's taxonomy places the organism in Eukaryota, Metazoa, Chordata, Amphibia, Anura, Pipidae. The record is from RefSeq and is a predicted model, not a curated record. The transcript is spliced from 3 exons.